Molecule: ribosomal RNA, 251 nt
Filed under: uncultured bacterium
Lineage: Bacteria
Description: partial 16S ribosomal RNA
Rfam family: Bacterial small subunit ribosomal RNA
Source: RNAcentral
UACGUAGGGUGCAAGCGUUAAUCGGAAUUACUGGGCGUAAAGCGUGCGCAGGCGGUUGUGCAAGACAGAUGUGAAAAUCCCCCGGGGCUCAACCUGGGAAUUGCAUUUGUGACUGCACGGCUAGAGUGUGUCAGAGGGGGGGUAAGAAUUCCACGUGUGAGCAGUUGAAAAUGCGUAGAGAUGUGGAGGAAUACCGAUGGCGAAGGCAGGCCCCCCUGGAUAAACACUGACGCUGCAUCGACUACCGAAAA